AUUGAACGCUGGCGGCAGGCCUAACACAUGCAAGUCGAACGAGUGGCGGACGGGUGAGUAAUGUCUGGGAAACUGCCCGAUGGAGGGGGAUAACUACUGGAAACGGUAGCUAAUACCGCAUACCAUCGGAUGUCCCCAUAUGGUAUUAGCUAGUAGGUGGGGUAACGGCUCACCUAGGCGACGAUCCCUAGCUGGUCUGAGAGGAUGCACAGCCACACUGGAACUGAGACACGGCCCAGACUCCUACGGGAGGCAGCAGUGGGGAAUAUGGCACAAUGGGGGCAAGCCUGAUGCAGCCAUGCCGCGUGUAUGAAGAAGGCCUUAGGGUUGUAAAGUACUUUCAGCGGGGAGGCGUUACUCGCAGAAGAAGCACCGGCUAACUCCGUGCCAGCAGCCGCGGUAAUUC
RNAcentral lists this ribosomal RNA (406 nucleotides) under uncultured bacterium. Its description in RNAcentral is "partial 16S ribosomal RNA". It matches the Rfam family "Bacterial small subunit ribosomal RNA", at positions 30 to 526 of the family's 1533-position model. The record is from RNAcentral.